This 157-nucleotide ribosomal RNA is filed under the name uncultured Elaphomyces. RNAcentral describes it as "5.8S ribosomal RNA". It matches the Rfam family "5.8S ribosomal RNA". From Rfam's summary of the family: 5.8S ribosomal RNA (5.8S rRNA) is a component of the large subunit of the eukaryotic ribosome. The record is from RNAcentral. Lineage: Eukaryota; Fungi; Ascomycota; Eurotiomycetes; Eurotiales; Elaphomycetaceae.
AAAACUUUCAACAAUGGAUCUCUUGGUUCCGGCAUCGAUGAAGAACGCANCGAAAUGCGAUAAGUAAUGCGAAUUGCAGAAUUCCGUGAGUCAUCGAAUCUUUGAACGCACAUUGCGCCCCCCGGCUUCCCGGGGGGCAUGCCUGUCCGAGCGUCAU